RNAcentral lists this long non-coding RNA (1007 nucleotides) under Homo sapiens (human). RNAcentral describes it as "HSALNT0316747". Lineage: Eukaryota; Metazoa; Chordata; Mammalia; Primates; Hominidae. The record is from RNAcentral.
CGCCGCGUUAACAGUCUUCACCCGGGGUGUCCAGAACUUGAGGGCGGGUCCAUUAGGAACUAAAUUAAGAAACUGAGUCCUGGAGUGAACCGACGGUCGUCCCACCAAACAAGAAGGCUGGAUUUGAGGCGGUCGCACUCCCCCGGGCUUCCUGAAAUAAAAAGCAGCGCCCCGUUCGCAGCCCAUCGGCAACAAGCAGCACCCGUCUGCCCAGCCGCCUCCCCCGGCGGCGCCCGGCCCCGCGGCGACUAGCCUACCGCACCUGCGGCUACCCCCAGUCCCGGCAACCACCCCGCCCUAGCCAGGCCGCACCAGCCGCGCCGCGGUUCCGGGCCGUAGUGCCAGGAGGCGCGCGCGCCCUCCCUCAGGGCUGUAGCUACCAAGCGGGGGAGGAAGACCCCCCAGGUGAACCCUGGAGGCCCCUCGCCUCAGAAAGGGGCCCUGUAGCCCAGCUGCAGCCUCUCCGCAGACCGCCAGUCUGGCUCUGAGAGGCCGGCCGCCGCUGGCUGCCCUCCCGCAGACACCCCGGUGGUCAGGACCGCCGUCGCCCCUCCGCCCCCGAGGACUCAGACUCUGACCGGUUCCUCGCCUUUCGGCCGGUCCCGGAGCUGUCACCCCCGGUACCUCUCGGCGAACACUGGAAGCAGCCAGCAGUGGCUAACCCCGCGGUCCCUCAGCGGCGGGCGGCGCAGCGCACUCUCCAGCGCCGGCGUCUCCUCCAGCCACCAGUCUCUGCCGCAGCUCACAACAAAGGAAACAUGUGACCGUCCGGGCCAAAACACUGAGCGUCAGCGAACCCUGGCCAAUCCGGGUGGGCGUCCUCCGCCCCGGGGAACCCUGGGAGAUGUAGUUCACGCUUCCCGGUGGCCUCCGGGGCCACCUGGGGCUCCCGCCGUGGGGUGGGUGUCGGGUGCCCAAGAGGACGAGACCCACCCAAAGGGCUGCUGACUCAAAAACACCUUGUUUUAAGCAGAGACAGUUAAAAAAAUGCCUCUUGUGUAAGGAGC